UCAAAAUCUCAUAGCUCAAAUUUUCUCUGAUCAGAAAUCCCAAAACCUAAAAGCUUGAUUCGAUUUUGAUCGGAGUUUGUCUCUCUGAGUUUUUUUUAUCCCAAUUCUCUCUCUCCGACUACUUUCCUGACGAUCUCGUCGUCUUCAUCCUCUAUAAGCUCAGCUCCUCCGCUUCCUUUCCCUCCGAUCUCAUCACGUAAGCAAAACAUUCUUAUCUCUCGUCGUCGCUUCGAACUUCAAAACCCUCUCUUUUCCAGUUUCACUUGCUCCGAUGCUGUUUCGAAUCGGCGCUCUUCCAAUACGUCUAAUCAUCGUCGACUCUACUUCACACCACUACGCCUAGCGCCACCAUCGACUUCUGCCUCCGUCACCGUGAUGACGGACCACUCACAUCCCACCACCUCAAAUUGGGCAGCAGUGGCGGAGAAGCCGCUGCCAAUAUCGGCUGCAGCCUAUUUGAUGUGUAUUUUUGCUUCUUUGGCGGCUUUGAUGUUCAAUUGCGUUAAGGACGACAUUGACUAGUCUACUUUUGAAGAGGAUGAGUGGAGGUGAGUAAUUUGAUCCCAGCUCAAGAUAUAUCAUCAGGAAUUCAAUUUAAAUUUGAUUCAGUAUUGAAAUAAUUGUUUUCAUGAUUUUGAUUGUGAAUGCCACUGGUGUUGUUAAUGUUAGGACUCAGUACACUCCGUAGAUGAUCUAACCUUAACUCAAGCCAUCAAUUAAUGAUAUGGACAUUUAGAUGAUUCUAUACUUCAGCAAUUGAAUAUCAUUGUAAAUUGAACAUGAAUUUGAAUCUGGUUAUUGAUAAUGAUGAUGAUGAUAGGUUUAACAUGAAUUCAAUUAAUGAUGAUUAAUUGAUGAUAUUUGCUUUUAUUAUGUGUGGGAUCGUUGUACAUUGGUUUUAACUGUAAUCAGAAGCUUAGACAAGUCUUGUAAAUUGGAACGUCUUGACAUUGUUGUUGUUUCUUGUUUGUGUAUUUAUUCAAGAUUAAGUUUGGUCUCACUGAUGUUGUGGCAUUUCUUCUUUUACACAAGUAUUCCCUUCCUUUAAUGCCUUCUCUUCAUUUUCUCUUGCUCUUUCGUAUGAGGGCAAAGUUACAGAUAAAAUACCUUGGAGAGAAAUGAUCAUGGCACAAGAUUCAUACAUGUCAAGCUAUAUGUCGAAUUAGGGGUAGCAAGAAAGAAGGGUAAAUAUAUUGUUUUGUUGCUUUCCCGUUACGAACUGAACUAUUGAACAAGAAGCUAGGUAGCAGUACAAAACUACAAAUGAUUGAAAUAUAACUCCCAAGCUGAUGAGUAGAACACAAGUCUGUGCAGCCAAAGUUGUUUCCGUGUUUAAAUGAUAAUUUCAAAACGGGUGAGAGCCUCUGGUCUUUCCAUUGCUCUCUACAUGUCUAUUUGCGGCUUUGGUUAAUCUCCCAUUCUUUGUUUAUUUGUUUCAUAAAAGCAUAAACUUGUAUGUUGUAGUUACAGGGCACACUGAAUUUUGAGUUUGGAACUUCUUCUAGAGCUAUAUCUAAGCCUUGAGAACUUUCUAGUUAGAAGCAGAGAAUCAAGUCAGUGUCAUCACCGAUUGUCCCUAUCAUUGUCAACUCUGUGAUUGGUGAAGAAAUGAAGGGCUACAAUGGAUUAAAACCCUUCAUGAUGACUACUUCUUUCCACAAAGACAAUUCAAAUUCUCUGAGCCACCUGAUGCAUCAGAACUUUAAAAAUUCAACUUUUGAGAGUAACUCAUUGGUAGCAGAAGAAGAGUACUUCAAAGGCUCUGGCCAAUCAAAUUGUGAAGUUUCUUUUGAUCAUGAUUCCACGGUCUCCUUGUGUGAUAGUUGUACCCGAAUGGUUUUCUUCAGACUUGGUGACAUCUAGGCUCACUCAACACUUACUUCCAUUGUAUUUGGCCAAUGAAAAGAUGUUUACUCAACCUAGCUGCAUAUGUGCAAUAUUUAUAUCAUUUGCAGCCAACCUCUUGUUUUAUUUCCUUUAUUCAAUAAUAGAUGUAGCUCUGCUAUUUUUAAGAGUCAAGACUCAUAACACUCCUAUAUGUUCACAGUUAAUCUAUGUUUUUUAUUCAUGUCAUCAUA
Molecule: long non-coding RNA, 2078 nt
Organism: Rosa chinensis
Lineage: Eukaryota; Viridiplantae; Streptophyta; Magnoliopsida; Rosales; Rosaceae
Exons: 2
Source: RefSeq, a predicted model, not a curated record